CAUACAAAAUGCUUGGUAAAGGCACUAGCCACAAAGCUGAACAAAUUGAGUUGGAUUCCCAGGACUGAUAUCAGAAAAGUAAAGAACUAAGUCCCACAAGAUGAACUCCACACAUCUUAUGUCAUGAGGUCACCUCUCAAGUCCCCUCACACUGAAAAGGAAUAAGCAGAACCAAGUAAAGUUGCACCUGCAAUCAUCAUUUUAUCAUACAAUCAUCAUUGCAAGCUCGGAUCCUUGGGUGCCAAGAUUGCUUAUGAGGGAAAACAGUUUCCAUGCACACUUAAGGCUUGGAGUCUCCAUCCCUGGACCACCUGAAUCUAAAGAAGCCAACCAGCUCCACAAAUUUGUCCUCUGAACUCCACAUAUACUCUGUUCUCUACUAGGCCUGGUGUCUGAAGAACAAUACUAGAAGUGCAUGCAAUGAAGCACAGAGAAGCAAGCCUGGGUAAUCAUACUGUAUUUCUUUUGAACAU
Mus musculus (house mouse) is the source of this 473-nucleotide long non-coding RNA. RefSeq annotates it as predicted gene, 40284. The record is from RefSeq and is a predicted model, not a curated record. The transcript is spliced from 3 exons. Lineage: Eukaryota; Metazoa; Chordata; Mammalia; Rodentia; Muridae.